RNA transcript from Wyeomyia smithii (pitcher-plant mosquito), 2522 nucleotides. It is a transcript of the gene named hrp65 protein-like, with no coding region annotated. The transcript is spliced from 13 exons. The record is from RefSeq and is a predicted model, not a curated record. NCBI's taxonomy places the organism in Eukaryota, Metazoa, Arthropoda, Insecta, Diptera, Culicidae.
CUUUCUCAUUCUGCUUUUGACUGUCGACCUUGUCGCACGGUGCGUUGAGUUUAGGUGUUCUUCGCAUUAGUGAUUUUAAUUGAUUGGUGACAAGUUCUGAGAAGUGCGAUUGGCAUUCACGAAUCGGCCAAUUUGUUGCCCUUAAGUGUUCAAUAAAAUUAUAAAUUGAUAGACAAGUGGCUCAACCGGCGUAAACAUGGAAGUAGCAAAGCCAGAAGUUAACGGUACUCCGCUCCCGCAGCGGCAGCCGAAUAAUCCAGGGCAGCAGGCUGGUGGUAAUCCUGGUAAUCAAGCCCAGGGACAAGGUGGCCAGCCAAACCAGGGCGCCGGUGGUCAGCAGCAAAACCAGGGUGGUAAAGGACAGAAUCAAAAUCAGAAUCGCGGCAAUCAGAACAAAAAUCGCGGCGGCAACCAAAAUCGAUUCAAUAAUCGCAACCAAGGUGGUGGCGGUGGCGGUGGAAAUCGGCAACAGAAUAAUCCGGAUGGAAAUAACGACGGAAAUCAGCAGCAACAGGGUCGCCAAGGCGGACCCGGUGGUAAUCGUGGCGGCAACCGGAACAGAAAUCAAAAUGAUGGUGAUCAAAGCUUUGAUCGACGUCGCAGUGGUCCAGGCGAACAGUAUUUCAUUAAUGAAAAGUUGCGCAUGCUGCAAGGACCGCUAAUGGAUCUGCCACCAAUCGAAUCUGAGCAAAUCAAGUUUUCCGGUCGAAACCGAUUGUAUAUCGGUAAUCUGACAAAUGAUGUGACCGAGGAAGAGUUGGUUGAAUUGUUUAGGCCAUACGGUGAUAUUACGGAAGUUUUCAUGAAUAAAGAGAAGAACUACGCCUUUGUGCGUGUAGAUUACUUCUCAAACGCGGAGAAAGCUAAGCGGGAAUUAGACGGAACGUCGCGCAAGAACCGUAUCUUGAGAGUACGUUUCGCACCUAAUGCUACUGCUGUUCGCGUCCGUAAUUUGACACCAUUUAUCAGUAAUGAACUUCUGUACAAGGCAUUCGAAGUUUUUGGUCCGCUUGAGCGGGCUUCUGUUCAGGUUGACGAACGUGGCAAAUCUACCGGAGAGGGUAUUGUUGAAUUUAAAAACAAGCCUGGUGCUAUGUCAGCCUUGCGUUACUGCACAGAAAAGUGUUACUUCUUGACAUCUUCGCUAAGACCGUGCAUUGUUGAACCGUACACUUAUCAAGAUGACACAGACGGACUACCGGAAAAGUCACUAAACAAAAAAAUUCCGGACUUUCAGAAAUCGAGACAGGCUGGUCCACGUUUUGCAGAAAUUGGUUCUUUCGAGCAUGAAUAUGGCCAACGCUGGAAGCAUAUGCAUGAACUGUAUAAGCAGAAAGCCGAAGCACUAAAACGUGAAAUGAUCAUGGAGGAGGAGAAGCUGGAAGCGCAGAUGGAAUACGCUCGUUAUGAACACGAGACCGAGCAGUUACGAGAGCAACUUCGCAUGCGAGAACAAGAUCGUGAUCGUCAGAAGGCCGAAUGGGAGAUGAAAGAGCGCCAAGCUGUUGAAGCAAAGACUCGCAAUGAACUGCAGAUGAAGCAUGAUGUCGAGGAGAUGCAGAAUCGCAUCAAACGUACGGAUGAUGAAAUGCACCGCCGUCAGCAGGAAAAUACCUUAUUUAUGCAGGAUUCCUUGAAACAGAACCAACAAAUGACAUUACUCGAUAACAAUGAUGAUAAUCGUCGUCCAUUCGAUUUGAUGAGCCAUGGUGGUGGCGGUGGCGGUGGCGGAAACAGUGGCCCUGGUAACAAUUUCGGCGGAAUGGCCCUGCUUAUGAAUUUGUUCCCGAGAAAAUCCGCUCGUAAGGUUUUUUGAAAACGAGCCAAACGGCCAAAGACUGUCACUCUGCCUACCUAACAACGCUACCUCUUGAAAUAGCCUACAGUAGCUAAAUGCACUCAGUGUCAUAUGUUUUAAGUAGCCAGUUUUAGAGGAGUUUACCACUGCUGAAGAGAUCAUCAUCCGAACGGCUAGAGGUUCAGGAAAGAACACAGCCAGCAACGCAAUACGGGUUCCAUCGGUGCACAAAACUAUACAGGAGUUUUUAUCGGCAACUGUUACGCUAGUUAUACACGAUAGAUGUAUGAACAAUGCCUUAUCUUGAUAUUCCCACAAAAGGAUUGCAAUAUUACUGUUAGACUUAGGAAACUUCGAAGUUUAUUUUACGAGUGUGGCGAACUAAUUGGUAUGCACAUUUCCCUGAUGAUAUUUCUGCAAAAGGUCUGCAUUGACAAACAUGCUGUUACGCUUUGUCUUUGUGGUUUUGUUGCUAAGGCAAUAAUUACUGACGACAGAGAAAAACAAUGAAGCCAUUUUAAAGACCAGUUGACUCGCUGCGCUCAGAAAUUUUUAUUUCCAAGCACAAAGUACUGUGAUAUACUACACUUGGUUUCGGUUCCAGCAACUUCAAAUCGGAAGACACGCUCUGAAGGAAGGAUGUGUAAUGUUUGAACAGAAAAAAAACAGUUAUAAUAAAAACCAUUUAAUGUAUCGACAUUUGUAAUAAAUCAACAUACAAAAA